Molecule: transfer RNA, 85 nt
Filed under: Felis catus (domestic cat)
Lineage: Eukaryota; Metazoa; Chordata; Mammalia; Carnivora; Felidae
Rfam family: tRNA
About the family: Transfer RNA (tRNA) molecules are approximately 80 nucleotides in length.
Source: Rfam by way of RNAcentral
GCCUGGGUGGCUCAGUCGGUUAAGCUUCUGACUUUGUCUCAGGUCAUGAUCUUGCAGUUCGUGGGUUCGAGCCCCACGUCAGGCU